Hevea brasiliensis (rubber tree) is the source of this 2518-nucleotide RNA transcript. RefSeq lists it as uncharacterized. The record is from RefSeq and is a predicted model, not a curated record. Lineage: Eukaryota; Viridiplantae; Streptophyta; Magnoliopsida; Malpighiales; Euphorbiaceae. The transcript is spliced from 2 exons.
UGACUAUUUGGUCUCUUUAUUUUAGUGAAACUAAUUAGUUGAUCAAUGUAUUUUGAAAAAUAUAGCAUUUUGAAAAUUAUAUUAUUAGAUAAAAAUAGAAAUUUUACCUUGUGGGGACUAAAUCUGAAUUUAUAUAUUUUUUUAAAUUUUCAAUUCCUUAGAUAUCAUUUUUAUAUUUUCACUACUGAAAAAUAAUUUUUUUUUAUUACUUUCAAAUUUGAGUAAACUGAUUAAUUUUUUUGUAUAGAUAAUUUGUACUGUUUUUAUUAACGGGUGAAAGCAAAGAGAGAAUGGGGGGGAGAGGGUGCGAGCGUAGAGGAGAUGCAAUAUGGAGAGACAGAAAUAAAAGAAGACAAGAGAGAAAUAAGGGGAAUAUUAAGGUAGUUUAAUUAUAAAAAAUAAUUAUGGGACUAAAUAGUUAACGGAGUCAAAUUACAGGAAUUAACUAAUGUGUUUUUCUAAAAUAGAGGAACUAACUAAUUAGUUUCACUAAAAUAGAUGAACUAAAUAGUAAUUUGACUAGUAUUGACUAACAGAAAAAUUGACAGAGCGACUAAACAAUUUAAUGGAGGCAAAAUACAAGGACUAAAUAGUAUAUUUUUUAAAAUAUAGGGACCAAAUAGUUACUUUCAUUAAAAUACAGAGACUAAAUAGUAAUUUAACCUAAAAGUUAUACUGUGUUAUUUCCUUAGAGUUAGUACGAUGUGUAGUGCUCCAACUUUUUUUUUUCCUGAUAAGGUCUUCACUGCUUACUCCUUAUGUUGGUUUAUCAUUUGUAUCAUAUGGAAUUUGAAAUUGAAAUAUGCAUUAGUAUUUCUGAGUGUGAAUUAUGUAAGGAUUGAGUUGUAGCUUGAUCCAGGCUAUGGAUUUUUAAUGCCCUAUGCAAUGCUUACUAUUACUUUAUUACAUAUUUUGAUGAUUUCUGUUACUCAACUCCAUUCUCUGUGUAUUUUGUCUACCUGAUCCUUAGCAUGGAGGCAGCGCUAAUUUCUUUUACAUCUUCUGAGCACACCAAUUACUAUUUUGAUGUCAACAAUGAUUAUUUUGAAGAUGCUUUGGACAGGUAAAUCCAUGUUUCCUUUUGCUGAUAGUUUGUUAUUUUCAUCGGUACCCUCAUAAGGUUUGUGAGCUUGGUUUUUUGCAUGUGAUGUACUGUUCAGAUUUGCACAGUUCUUUAUUAAACCAUUAAUGUCAGCUGAUGCAACAACGAAAGAGAUUAAGGUUGUCGAUUCUGGUUAGGUUUUAUGUUCAGUAGCCACUCUCUUUUAUCUUUAUAAAAUGUUUUAAUUCCCUAAUGUUGUAGCUGUCCUAUUGAGGAUAUUUGCAGAUAGUAUGUGCGUGCAUAAGUCUGUCUGCAGAGGAUAUUUUUGUCUGUGUACAGAGAUUAAAAUUACAGAGCUUUGUGCUGGAUGUUUCUAUUGUGACUUUCAUCUGCUUUCCCCCUUCUGUGCCCUUCUUUAUUUUUCCAUAUUUACUUUUCUGAAAACCAAUUGCAUUAACCAUGUGAUUUGGUUAGUGGUUACUGGAUGAGAGAGUUUUCUUUUUUUUAAAGUAGUGAUUGAUCUUACUGAUGCUGGUCAUGGUUAGUUUUAGUAUUCUUUCCAACUUCAGUUUUGUCUGAUUGGUCUGUGAGCCUUGGACUUAUCUUUUGACGGAGCUGCAAAGUUUAAUUUUAGCUUAUUUGUCUGACACCUGGAGCUGAUCUGUUUUCUGGGCAAACUAUUUUUCUUGAUUGAAUACAGAACACAUGCAGGAUAUUGUAGGGCUGCUAUUCAAAUACAUUCAGCUCUUGCAGCAAUCUGGUGUUAGCAAAUGGAUAUUUGAUGACUUUGCUGCUGUUUGUGAGACAAUAUUUCAUUAUCAGGACAAAACCCCUCUGAUUGAUUACGUGGUCAAAAUUGCAUCCAAUAUGGAGGCACGUUUGUAUUCCUUCCUUUCCAUUUUUUUUAACGUGCCACCUUUUGGAUUUGUAUAUUUUUGUUUCUUUUGGUUGACAUUGUAGUUACACGAUACUCAAAAUGUUAUUCCGGUGCAAAUUGUGCUAAAAUUGCUCUUAUAGAAAGGUAGUUGGAAAAGUUCCUUGAAACAGCAAGCAUCUUUAUUUCAUUACAUCCUUCAAGUUAUGAAAAGCAACACCCAUUUGUACAUUUCAUUGUGUUCUGUGAGUUAGAGAGUUGUUAAUUUGAGAGGUGGCUUAUUGUGAGGACAAAGUGAAGAUAAAAAACUUGCACCACUGGUGGGGAGGAAAGAUUUUUGUUUAAUGCCCCAAGCAUGCAAAGCAAGCCAUUAUGCAAAUCCAUUGUUCAACGGGAUCUCCGUGAUUUCUAUCUAUACAUUUGGAAGAUCCUACAAGAGUCAUACAGCUGUAUCAUUCCCUCCCUCUAUUAUAAAUGAAUUAAUUAUUCAUGCUCAGUUAAUGUCAUAACAAGCCAAUGUAAUAUUGGCACUGUAUGAAAUUUUGGUAAGAUUUGUUCUAUCUUUGGAUAGUUUUCUUUAUAAAUUCUUUAUUUCUAUCUUA